AGGCGCACUCGUGUCUGCCGCGGCCGCCGCAUUCGGGGUUGUGGCUCCCCAGUGGAGGCGGGGACAGAGGGUCUUGCAGAUGGCCCCACUCCCAGGAGCAGAGCUGGUCCAGAGGCCACUGCAGCUCUACCGGUACCUGCUGCGCUGUUGCCAGCAGCUGCCAACCAAGGGCAUCCAGGAGCAUUACAAGCAUGCUGUCAGGCAGAGUUUCCGGGUUCAUUCAGAUGAAGACAAUCCUGAGAGAAUCCAGCAGAUUAUUAAAAGAGCCAUAGAAGAUGCAGACUGGAUCAUGAACAAAAUUCCUUUUACAUUAAAGAAGAAAGGGGGUCCCAGUGCCAGCUAGAGAUCUGACUGUCUGGUGCCUGCCCUGCUACCUCUGAGAAGCCCCUGCAGGAAGCAGCUAACACCUGCAAGAACAUGGUUCCUGGGACUUUCUGGGUCCUCCCUCCCCCACUGGCUUCCCUCACCCACUUCUAAUGAUCUCUGUCUUACAGUAUAAAAAACAAAACUGAGGCUCUAGGGCCUAGAGAACGAGUUGCCCUGAAGACAUUGACGUUGAGAGACCUCGCUUAUAGAACUACUCAGCAGCGGCACUUAUGGAAUAUGCAUUGGCCUGUUGGCCUAGAGCAGGAAAUCAGGAGUAGGAGAAGCUGACUAUUGCUCACCUGGCUCUUCUUGCCAUGUUUGUUUUCCCCAGCAUCCCUUACAUUUGCUUUUCUGGCCAGUUGCCAUGUGGACUUGGGGAUACUGUGUUUUGUCACUUUGCUCUGAAGGUGAUGCAUUUAUUCUGGAUGUUGUCCUUUGAGACCCAGAGUGGGCAUCCCCUCAGGCUGUGCUGAGAGGACACGGUGUGGGUUUUCGAACCAGUCGGGUCUGGAUUUGAAUGUCAGUUCUGCAACUUUUCAAGGGUCUUGCCUUUGAGCUCAGAUUCCUCCUUUGUGAAGAUUAAAUAUGAUGAUGUUGAAGAGCUUCAUGCAGGAUGUGAUACAUGGUAAUGCAAGUAAAUGUCCCCCCUGGGAGCGCCAUCCUCCACCACUCCUUCCUCUGGACUACGGUGCUCCAUGCAUCUCUCUGGCAUGUUCCUCAUCGGGCCCAGGUUGUUUGUGAUCUUGUCCUGCCCUGCUUGGUGUCCCUGAACUUCAGGGUCCCACCAUGCCCAGCAGUCCAUCAAGCAGCCACUCCUCUAGGCUUGGUGGGAAGUCCUUCCUUGAAGUCCAGUCCUUGCCUUUAUGGAGUUUCUUGUGACCAUGAAUUGGUGAAAUGCAGGCUGCAUGGAACAAGGAAGAAAGGCAGAGCAGCUACAGCAGACGCUAAAGCACACAGACCUCUUGUGAACCUGCAGUCUGUUCUGCUGGCCCUUCCCUUCUUUGCCACCAUCUUGGGAGGAAAAAUGGAAGUCGGGAGCAAGCAAGGAGGGAGGUGGGGAGCAAGCGUUCCUGUGAGUUAUGGUGAGCCUGAAACCCUGUGGAGAGACAGACUGGAUCGUGUCCCAAUUCCAUAGGAGUUGCUUUUGGGAACUUACCUGGCCUACUUCAGCCUUGGUUUCCCCAUCUCCUGUGGAGUGGUGCCCACACCUACCUGCCAGGGUGGGAGUGAGGACUAUGGAGCUCUCAUGCGUGCGAGGGGCUUCAUACAGAAGCUGGCUCAGGGAGCUGCCUGCAUGGCUGUGGCCAGUUACCACAGCGAGGAAGCCCUGCUUUGCAGAUGGGGAGAUGGAAGCACAGGCAGUUUGAGCCCCUUUUCAGCAAAGGAGCAGCCAAAAGCAGAAAAGUCGCACUAGGACUUGAAUAUCUCCAAGGACUCUCAGCCAGAGGGAUGAGCCAGCAUGUUUGUGACCUGCCAUGAAUUAUAUGACUUAAAGUUACUCAGAGACAUCUGUAUGCACUUCACUGAUCAGCAAGUAAUGAAGUAAAUAUAUCAGUUUUU
This 1926-nucleotide long non-coding RNA is filed under the name Canis lupus familiaris (dog). RNAcentral describes it as "lncRNA (ENSCAFG00000051228.1)". Lineage: Eukaryota; Metazoa; Chordata; Mammalia; Carnivora; Canidae. The record is from RNAcentral.